CCUACGGGGGGCUGCAGUGGGGAAUAUUGGACAAUGGGCGAAAGCCUGAUCCAGCCAUGCCGCGUGUGUGAAGAAGGCCUUCGGGUUGUAAAGCACUUUCAGUGGGGAAGAAAGCCUUGGGGCUAAUACCCUCGAGGAAGGACAUCACCCACAGAAGAAGCACCGGCUAACUCCGUGCCAGCAGCCGCGGUAAUACGGAGGGUGCGAGCGUUAAUCGGAAUUACUGGGCGUAAAGCGCGCGUAGGCGGUCUGAUAAGCCGGUUGUGAAAGCCCCGGGCUCAACCUGGGAACGGCAUCCGGAACUGUCAGGCUAGAGUGCAGGAGAGGAAGGUAGAAUUCCCGGUGUAGCGGUGAAAUGCGUAGAGAUCGGGAGGAAUACCAGUGGCGAAGGCGGCCUUCUGGACUGACACUGACGCUGAGGUGCGAAAGCGUGGGUAGCAAACAGGAUUAGAUACCCUUGUAGU
This 464-nucleotide ribosomal RNA is filed under the name Vreelandella stevensii. RNAcentral describes it as "partial 16S ribosomal RNA". It matches the Rfam family "Bacterial small subunit ribosomal RNA", at positions 338 to 794 of the family's 1533-position model. The record is from RNAcentral. Lineage: Bacteria; Pseudomonadati; Pseudomonadota; Gammaproteobacteria; Oceanospirillales; Halomonadaceae.